UGAAUAACUCCCACUCCGACAUCGCUCUCGGCGCUGAGAUGUUGAAUAACUUGAAGAGCAGUCAAAGAAUGAGUUACUCUCACUUAAACACUGUCAAUUGAGUGCACAGCCAUAACCAUGAUGGACAAAUGGAAGAUCAGCAGUCACAAAUUGAGUAAUUUUCCGGGCUUCCUUCCAGUGCACUCAUAGUUAUCCUGAUCUCAAGUCAGUCACCCUUGCUGUCUCCUUAAGGAAACCUAACAAGGGAUAGAUUUUAUCUGAUAAGAUGAUGAAUAAAACUACAAACACAAUGAAAGGGAUUACAGAACGUUAAUCCACUAAUGGCCACGAUCUUACUCGUCCAUAUCAUUUAUACGCGUGACUUGAAAAAAAAAAAUGAAAAAAAAUAUAGUCACGGCCAAUAUUCAAGUAAUAGAUCGUCGUUGUGUUUAGCAUUUAUCUUUAUUCUUAAGGUUUCUGAUCUGUUUAUCGAGUACCAUUUUACAAAAUCAGACUGAUUAAGAUUGAGGCAAAACGUUAAACGGAAAAGAGGUGAGUGUUAGUUGUCAUUAUACUGCUACUCAUGUCUACAACGAGCUUCACUACCUUCAGGACAGAGCCUCGGAUGUCGGAGAUCUUGUCUAUGAAGGGCGAGACUGGGGAGGAGAAGCGACCGUUCUUCCAGAGUGACUGACCAAGUGUUACAAAAAAGCAGAAAACAAGUACACUGAAUGUCCCAGACCUCAAGGAGUAUUGCCAAAAGGAAAACCUACAUUAAAGAACUUUUUUUAAUUCUUCGUGAAGAAGCUCAAGCAAUAGGCAAGUACAGGAAAAUUCUUAAACAGCGGCAAUACCCGCUACUUUUAAACGAUGAAAGCAGUGUGGCGGAGAUCGAUGCUCUCUCACAGUACAGUGUUACACCUCACCUGCACGAGACCCACCAAGUGUUCUGUCUUCCUUCCCUUGUGAGUGAGCGUGAGGGCGUCCAGCUCGUCUCUUGUGAGUCCAACCAACACGUACCUGCGGCACAAGAGGCACUGGUCAUCCAUCAUCCAGCAAGGGGAUUUCAAGCUAGUAUGGCGCGUGGGGAGCACACCUGUAUCAGAGUAAAAGGGAACCCAAUAGAAGCCAAUUAUAUAAUGUAUGCAUUACGUUGCACUGUUUACCGAUAUAUUCAAGGCAGUGGCUAAAGAAGUAAUGUAGUUUUUGGCAUUACAAUUAUAACACCUAUUACACCACAAUCUGAUGUGCCACCUGCUGGUCUGUGCAAUCCAAUAAGUUUUUGAAACCAAGAGCUGACCUGCCACCGUAGUCCCAGAGAGCGGACGCAGAGUCACCGAAGGACAGCAAGGCCUGGGGCUGGUGCAACAAGAAGAUAUAGGCCCGACACCCUCGUGCCCGCCACACCACCCGCCUGCCCGCCACCUCCCACCCGCCACUAACGUCCACCACCUGCCAUACCUUCUUGUUAACUUAAAAGGAGUGCUGCUGAGGGCUUGCAGUGUGUGAGAGGUGAGGUAGUCGGAGUCAGCCGCCACCACCAGCGAGCACUGAGACAGCUCCCACGCCACGAGGGUUUGGAGGGCGGCCCGCAGCGACGCCCCCCACUGGUCGAGGCCUGAGUCCAGCUGGAUGAGUGGAACGCGGAUGGUGUGUAUGGAAGGUACCGCCAGCCUUGGAGCACUGGCGACAGAGAUUGAGGCGGGUGGAGUGUGGAUGAUCAUUGUGGCACUCGCUACCGCCCAUUGGAGUGACCACAGCCUCGCCAGCCGCCACGCUUGUGUCAUUUCUGUGGGUCACUUCUGUAAUAGAAGAUAAUUAAGUAACUGUCGUCAUUUAAGCUGAGGUUAUUACCAAAAUUUAUUCACCUGGCAGUAAUUCAUGUCAUUACUCAAGUGUGGCACUACCUCACACUGGACGUCGCUAUGACUGAGAGUGACAUUAUACAAACUGACGGAGGGGAGGAGCUCGUCAGGAAUCCUGCAGACGAUUGGCUGUCCAGGAACGCUGCAUUUUUCAGCAAGUGUGAGUCAUAUGACAUGAACAGCUUCAUAUAACAAAAAAUGGAAAAUAAAACAAACAAACAUGUAUUUGUGCUGCAUUUUGCCUUAAUGUGGUGAUAUAGUUAUAUGUACAAUAAUUAUGUAAGUGCAUGCGUAUAAGACUCAAAUAUACUCGUACAUCCAGUACUGUUAUAUAGCGAAGUACUGCACAGUGUCGCCUUUACACAGAAUGAAAAUUCAAGAAUGAUAUUCAGAAUUGUCAAAGAUAUAACGCACAAGAGAUGCAGUGACUAAAACCUUCCAUCAAAACUGAAAUCACAUUUUCUUUGGGCUCUGAAUACAAAAGUAAGACCCAACAUUAUACAAACAUCUUUUUGAGAUAACUUUGUCUCUCAUAAGUUGGC
Molecule: long non-coding RNA, 2386 nt
Organism: Portunus trituberculatus (swimming crab)
Lineage: Eukaryota; Metazoa; Arthropoda; Malacostraca; Decapoda; Portunidae
Exons: 4
Source: RefSeq, a predicted model, not a curated record